RNAcentral lists this transfer RNA (72 nucleotides) under Sphaerochaeta sp. RNAcentral's name for it is "tRNA-Met". It matches the Rfam family "tRNA". Rfam says of the family: Transfer RNA (tRNA) molecules are approximately 80 nucleotides in length. Their secondary structure includes four short double-helical elements and three loops (D, anti-codon, and T loops). Further hydrogen bonds mediate the characteristic L-shaped molecular structure. tRNAs have two regions of fundamental functional importance: the anti-codon, which is responsible for specific mRNA codon recognition, and the 3' end, to which the tRNAs corresponding amino acid is attached (by aminoacyl-tRNA synthetases). tRNAs cope with the degeneracy of the genetic code in two manners: having more than one tRNA (with a specific anti-codon) for a particular amino acid; and 'wobble' base-pairing, i.e. permitting non-standard base-pairing at the 3rd anti-codon position. The record is from RNAcentral. Lineage: Bacteria; Pseudomonadati; Spirochaetota; Spirochaetia; Spirochaetales; Sphaerochaetaceae.
CGCAGGGUAGAGCAGUUGGCAGCUNNCGGGCUCAUAACCCGGAGGUCGCAGGUUCGAGUCCUGUCCCUGCUA